RNAcentral lists this ribosomal RNA (492 nucleotides) under uncultured bacterium. Its description in RNAcentral is "partial 16S ribosomal RNA". It matches the Rfam family "Bacterial small subunit ribosomal RNA", at positions 29 to 507 of the family's 1533-position model. The record is from RNAcentral.
AGUGAACGCUGGCGGUAGGCCUAACACAUGCAAGUCGAACGGCAGCACAGUAAGAGCUUGCUCUUACGGGUGGCGAGUGGCGGACGGGUGAGGAAUACAUCGGAAUCUACUUUUUCGUGGGGGAUAACGUAGGGAAACUUACGCUAAUACCGCAUACGACCUACGGGUGAAAGCAGGGGAUCUUCGGACCUUGCGCGAUUGAAUGAGCCGAUGUCGGAUUAGCUAGUUGGCGGGGUAAAGGCCCACCAAGGCGACGAUCCGUAGCUGGUCUGAGGGGAUGUUCAGCCACACUGGAACUGAGACACGGUCUAGACUCCUACGGGAGGCAGCAGUGGGGAAUAUUGGACAAUGGGCGCAAGCCUGAUCCAGCCAUACCGCGUGGGUGAAGAAGGCCUUCGGGUUGUAAAGCCCUUUUGUUGGGAAAGAAAAGCAGCAGGUUAAUACCCCGCUGUUCUGACGGUACCCAAAGAAUAAGCACCGGCUAACUUCGUG